UUUUUUCACAUUUCAUCUUUUUUUUACCUGUUGAAUAUAACGAGGUGGUGACCCAUCAGAAUUGUUUUUUUUUUCACAUUUCUUUUGCUGGUUAGUACAUUAUACUUUUCAUAUUUACAAUUAUAAAAUAUCAUAAAAUUUUGUAUUAAAUUGAAGAUGACUACUCAACAGGUAGCCAAUAUUUAUUGAGAGAGUAACUUUAAAUUUUUUUGUUUAUAGAUUGUAUAUCCACAAGGUUGGCAGCGGGGAUGAUGAUAUAAGUGCUAUUCUACGAAAACCUUUUUUUGGAUACUUAUUUCUUUUUGAAUCAAGUUUCAAAUCUUCGAUAUUUUCAAUUUUUUAAGAAUGCUACAACUACUAUUUCUUUUGAUGAUACAUAGGAUAAGAAAUUUAUAAGGUGAACAUUAAAUGAUCUAGUUUACUUGUUGUUAUCAUUGGCAUACGAAUACAUUGGUUUAUAAAGAUGUGUAGUU
RNAcentral lists this long non-coding RNA (473 nucleotides) under Actinidia chinensis (golden kiwifruit). RNAcentral describes it as "long non-coding RNA (ACHI_LNC000682)". The record is from RNAcentral. Lineage: Eukaryota; Viridiplantae; Streptophyta; Magnoliopsida; Ericales; Actinidiaceae.